UGGGGAAUAUUGCACAAUGGGCGCAAGCCUGAUGCAGCCAUGCCGCGUGUAUGAAGAAGGCCUUCGGGUUGUAAAGUACUUUCAGUCGGGAGGAAGGUGGUAAGGUUAAUAACCUUAUCAAUUGACGUUACCGGCAGAAGAAGCACCGGCUAACUCCGUGCCAGCAGCCGCGGUAAUACGGAGGGUGCAAGCGUUAAUCGGAAUUACUGGGCGUAAAGCGCACGCAGGCGGUCUGUCAAGUCGGAUGUGAAAUCCCCGGGCUCAACCUGGGAACUGCAUUCGAAACUGGCAGGCUAGAGUCUUGUAGAGGGGGGUAGAAUUCCAGGUGUAGCGGUGAAAUGCGUAGAGAUCUGGAGGAAUACCGGUGGCGAAGGCGGCCCCCUGGACAAAGACUGACGCUCAGGUGCGAAAGCGUGGGGAGCAAACAGG
This 429-nucleotide ribosomal RNA is filed under the name Chloroflexota bacterium. Its description in RNAcentral is "Chloroflexi bacterium partial 16S ribosomal RNA". It matches the Rfam family "Bacterial small subunit ribosomal RNA", at positions 355 to 776 of the family's 1533-position model. Lineage: Bacteria; Bacillati; Chloroflexota. The record is from RNAcentral.